Molecule: non-coding RNA, 46 nt
Filed under: unclassified sequences
Description: SAM-SAH-Weickhmann-2018 RNA
Rfam family: SAM/SAH riboswitch aptamer
Source: RNAcentral
CCGUCACAACGGCUUCCUGGCGUGACGGCUUGGUACCAAUGGAGCG